This is a non-coding RNA of Equus caballus (horse), 1660 nucleotides long. NCBI's taxonomy places the organism in Eukaryota, Metazoa, Chordata, Mammalia, Perissodactyla, Equidae. The record is from RefSeq and is a predicted model, not a curated record.
AGAAAUGGCAGUAGCUGUCUGAGGUGACAUGAGUGGGAAAAUGGCCAGCCAUCAGUCCCCAGAGAACCUCAUUUUCAGUCAUCCUGACUUUGUGUCCACCCAUGUGAGCCCAAAGUCACCAAGUCAGCCACUCACAGAUGCCAAAGUCAAACCCAGUUCUCCAAGAUUCCCUUCUGCUCUGCUGUCCUCAGAAUGGGUAUUUGAACAAUGCUCUUGUUUUUAAAUCAAGAUUUAUUAUUCCAUCGACAAUGGAGGAGAAAGAAAGCCUCAGUCUGAAUGUGAAGUUAGCCAUCGCCAGGCUGUCCCCUCGCCAUUGGGAGCCUACAGCCAUCCCUCCUUCCUGGGUCAGAAACACUGCGGAGCAGGACUCACAGCUCUCAGCACCCCUCAGACUUGCCUUUGGCAGCUUGGAGCUUCCACACGGGCAUCUCCCUCCCGCCUUCUGCAUCAGGACGCCUGAAGGGUUUCUUGAGCGGAUUUGGACUGUGUACAAAACAGGAAGAACCAGUGUCCUCAGGCUGCUUCUGCCUUCAAAGUUUCCAGAGUUCCUAAGGGAGCCUCUGGGAACAGAAGAAAUCCUCCAUAACAUUUUAGACUUAAGGAGAUGAGAUGCACCAAUGGUCUGUGAUUCCUUACUGCACAUCAUGUAAAAAAAUUAACUCAAAAAACAUAGACCUAAAUGUCUGAAAUUUUCCCCAUUAGUUACUAAUGAGUCACUGGUAGGCUGGACCACAAAGGUUGGAGUGUUAUCUCUACACUUCCAUAAUCAAGAUGCACAGAAGGCUUCCACAGAGGUGUGUACUUCCAGCUCCAGCGACCUGGGUUUGUUGAGUGCAACUGUCCCUCAGCCUUCUGGGUCGGAGCUCCAGUCAGUAGAAGAAUGACACACCUGAACAUUUAACUGGGUCUUGAAGUCUAACAGCAUCUUAAACAGAGGAGUGGUCUGUGAUACAUGGGAAAACCGGAGCUGAGUGGAAACCUUCAGAAUAUUCUCUCAGAGCCCAGAUGUUGAAGGAGGAUAUAGAGGAGACUUGAGAAGUUUGGAGGGAUCAAAAGAAAGGAACUGAUCAUAAUAAUAUGAUUUGAAAAAUGCCAUCCACCAAUCUAGUGUCCAUGAGUUUUUACAGCAAUUACUGUUAGUGGGAAGUGAAGUCCAUUUUCCAAAUUGCAAACUCAAAGGAGCAGUUUAAAGAUGGACUCUGAUUUCCCUGAACUACACAGUGUUUUUCUCCACCAUAAAAGACAACAAAGUUGACCCUCUGGUUACUCCCACUGAACCUAAAAGGCCAUCUAAGGGAAAACAGGAUGUGGCUAAGAACAAUGACACCUCUGCAAACCGCAAACAGAGCCAACAGAUGAAUGAAGCCUGGUGUUUUCAGAAAGUCGGAAGAAAAGCAUGGAUUCAAACAGAGAACAAUGGUUGUGAAAAUACUAUUGUUAAUUUUGCCCACCAACCAAAAUUUCCACCUUCCUCUUCUAGCUAGUGCCUUUUCAUCUGUCUAUAACGCCUAGAAAUGAUCUGUGCAUUAAACGUCCUCUUGCCUGUGCUCUGAAGCCCUCUCUGUGGUUUUUAAUGUCCGUCAUCAUUAUAGUGAUCUUUCAAAUGAAAAGUUUGUUCAGCUAUUCUCAAUAGGGAAUUCCUAGUCAUAUAAACCACAGA